This 67-nucleotide transfer RNA is filed under the name Paracladura trichoptera. Its description in RNAcentral is "tRNA-Thr". The record is from RNAcentral. Lineage: Eukaryota; Metazoa; Arthropoda; Insecta; Diptera; Trichoceridae.
GUUUUAAUAGUUUAAAAAAAACAAUGGUCUUGUAAAUCAUAAUUAAAGAAUAUUUCAUUUUAAAACU